AGGCUGGAACGAUGAAAAACCUGUCAGCGGGUGUUUCACCGUUUGAGAUUAAAAACACUGACUAAGCAUGUAGGCUCUUUGAGGUCUUCUUUUUUGGACGUGGGUUCGAUUCCCACCGCCUCCACCA
This 127-nucleotide transfer-messenger RNA is filed under the name Chitinophagaceae bacterium. RNAcentral describes it as "partial transfer-messenger RNA". It matches the Rfam family "transfer-messenger RNA", at positions 236 to 374 of the family's 374-position model. Rfam says of the family: Bacterial tmRNA, also known as 10Sa RNA or SsrA, is named for its dual tRNA and mRNA-like properties. Its role is to liberate the mRNA from a stalled ribosome. To accomplish this part of the tmRNA is used as a reading frame that ends in a translation stop signal. RNAcentral also lists the same sequence under 1 other name. The record is from RNAcentral. Lineage: Bacteria; Pseudomonadati; Bacteroidota; Chitinophagia; Chitinophagales; Chitinophagaceae.